AAAAUGUAUUGUUGUAUAUAUAUUGGGAUUGCAUCCCAUUGUAGGAAAAUUUACAAUGAGUUUGUACAAUUGAAAUAUAGGGUAAGAUGCUGCUUUUGUGUUACAGUUACAAUGUGACUUAUAAGUAUGCAUGGUGCUGAAAUAUCGUCCUAUAUGAUAUCAGUUUUUAUAGACAAUACUCGAAAAGUGUAAAUCAUAUUUUACAAUGUGUCAGUGUCAAGGGUUCGAAGUGUCUUCUAGUUCAAGUGUUACAACUUCACUGGGAAAUGGGCUCUAUUUAUUUUUAUAUUCUAUAAAGCAUUAUAGAAUCAAUUAUCUAUAAAUUAGUAGAUCUGUAAAAGUAUGUAGGUGUUUGAAAUAUAGUAAGAGAACUCAGAAUCGCGGUCAGAUGUUUAUUAAAGACUUAGGGGUACAAGUGAUCCCGUCCACUGCCCGAUGUACGUAUGUAUCAAUGGCAGACUUAGCGUGAGGUCAUUAAGGUAGCAAAAUCAUUUGUUUCUUUAUUGGAUUCCAGUAUGAAUGUGGGAUAUGGCCAGUGUUCUUUCUCUCUUUUUAUCGAACUUAUUAUCCAUCUAAGAAAUGAUGGGUGCAGUACCACAAAGAUAAGUCUUCGGAAACUCUGUUGUCUAGCUUUCUAUGGUUUGCUAGAUGGGUUAACUAGGGAAGUUAAUUAUAUAAUCAUCUUUUUCCUGCUCUGCAUAAUAAAGAGUUACUCCGGAGUUAACAGAAAUUCAUACCUGAUGUAGGUCGUAUACUAGGGUAAGUUUUACAUCGAUGUUGUAUCUCCACAUACCGAGAAAGAAUAAGGCUUGGUAAUCCAGACUGUUCUUCUAUGAGAUAGUGGGACGUGAUAUUAGUUUAAUUCGACGCAAGUCAGAAUUGUUUAUCUUGAGUAUUGCUUGAAUAUAGUAUGUUUAGUACGAAAGGAAUUACACUAAAGUCAUAGACUAUUUUAAAGUUAUCGCCAUUUAAUUU
Molecule: ribosomal RNA, 975 nt
Filed under: Strongyloides papillosus
Lineage: Eukaryota; Metazoa; Nematoda; Chromadorea; Rhabditida; Strongyloididae
Description: 16S ribosomal RNA
Source: RNAcentral